GAUGAACGCUGGCGGCGUGCCUAAUACAUGCAAGUCGAGCGAAUGGAUUAAGAGCUUGCUCUUAUGAAGUUAGCGGCGGACGGGUGAGUAACACGUGGGUAACCUGCCCAUAAGACUGGGAUAACUCCGGGAAACCGGGGCUAAUACCGGAUAACAUUUUGGACCGCAUGGUUCGAAAUUGAAAGGCGGCUUCGGCUGUCACUUAUGGAUGGACCCGCGUCGCAUUAGCUAGUUGGUGAGGUAACGGCUCACCAAGGCAACGAUGCGUAGCCGACCUGAGAGGGUGAUCGGCCACACUGGGACUGAGACCCGGCCCAGACUCCUACGGGAGGCAGCAGUAGGGAAUCUUCCGCAAUGGACGAAAGUCUGACGGAGCAACGCCGCGUGAGUGAUGAAGGCUUUCGGGUCGUAAAACUCUGUUGUUAGGGAAGAACAAGUGCUAGUUGAAUAAGCUGGCACCUUGACGGUACCUAACCAAAAAGCCACGGCUAACUACGUGCCAGCCGCCGCGGUAA
RNAcentral lists this ribosomal RNA (515 nucleotides) under uncultured bacterium. RNAcentral's name for it is "partial 16S ribosomal RNA". It matches the Rfam family "Bacterial small subunit ribosomal RNA", at positions 28 to 523 of the family's 1533-position model. The record is from RNAcentral.